Molecule: ribosomal RNA, 253 nt
Filed under: uncultured bacterium
Lineage: Bacteria
Description: partial 16S ribosomal RNA
Rfam family: Bacterial small subunit ribosomal RNA
Source: RNAcentral
UACAGAGGGUGCGAGCGUUAAUCGGAAUUACUGGGCGUAAAGCGUGCGCAGGCGGUUUGUUAAGUCUGCUGUGAAAUCCCCGAGCUCAACUUGGGAAUUGCAGUGGAUACUGGCAAGCUGGAGUACGGUAGAGGAAGGUGGAAUUCCCGGUGUAGCAGUGAAAUGCGUAGAGAUCGGGAGGAACACCAGUGGCGAAGGCGGCCUUCUGGACCAGUACUGACGCUCAUGCACGAAAGCUAGGGGAGCAAACAGG